Molecule: long non-coding RNA, 804 nt
Organism: Formica exsecta
Lineage: Eukaryota; Metazoa; Arthropoda; Insecta; Hymenoptera; Formicidae
Exons: 3
Source: RefSeq, a predicted model, not a curated record
UGUUUAAUAAAUAUUAUGAACGGAAUCGAUUAGAAAUCAUUUGGGAAUAACAUAUUCAUUAAUAUUUUUAUUUGGGAAAGUCGCAUUUUUGUAAUUUAAAUAAAUUUGUGUAUUCAAAAAUAUGCAUUAUGCGUUAUGCACGCGGCAUAAAGGAUUCAACCAAUCAGAGUCCUUUAUUUCUAAAAUGAAAGACUCAAUAAAAUAUUUUCAUGUGCGCUGGUCCUUAAGAGCAAGCAAAAUGAACAAGAUUCAACUCUAUAAUAUUAUAUUACGUAUGACGUCGUCGGAUUAUUAAUUUUUAGAUUUAUCCAUCAGAAUUUGGUCAGAAGCGAAUGAAGGAGGAAGAGAUCAGUGGGCCAAUAGAACUAAGAAGUGAAGAUGUUAACAAUGAAGGAGAAAUUGGGGAUGAUAAUGAAGAAGGUGCAACAUAUCAUAUGGAGAAUGGUUGAUCUCCUUGAGUAUCCAAAAAUAGAUUAUCAUCAAUGAGCUCAAACAUAUCUUUGCUUUCUAAAUUCAAUAAUUUGGAAAAAAAUGGAUUUUGUAAAUCUUUAGUCAAAAAUUGAAAAUAAUUAAUGAAAUUUUAUAAAUAAUCAUAUUCUGUGUGGACGAUUUUAACAUUAUGUCUAGGAGCGAUUUAAUGAAGUAAAAACAAGCGUGAACUCGACUCAUGUGAUCUCGACAACGUUCCCUGCCGAAAAUGGUCGAUUAAAACCGAUUAAAACAUAAUCCGUUUUAAUCGGUUUUAAUCGGUUUUAAUCGGUUCAAUCCGCGCUCGGAUUAAAAAGUAAUCGAUUUUAAUUCCGA